GGGAUAUUGGGCAAUGGGGGAAACCCUGACCCAGCGACGCCGCGUGAGGGAAGACGGUCUUCGGAUUGUAAACCUCUGUCUUUGGGGACGAAAAAGGACGGUACCCAAGGAGGAAGCUCCGGCUAACUACGUGCCAGCAGCCGCGGUAAUACGUAGGGAGCAAGCGUUAUCCGGAUUUACUGGGUGUACAGGGCGUGUAGGCGGGCAGGCAAGCCAGAAGUGAAAUCUGGGGGCUUAACCCCCAAACUGCUUUUGGAACUGCGUGUCUUGAGUGAUGGAGAGGCAGGCGGAAUUCCCAGUGUAGCGGUGAAAUGCGUAGAUAUUGGGAGGAACACCAGUGGCGAAGGCGGCCUGCUGGACAUUAACUGACGCUGAGGCGCGAAAGCGUGGGGAGCAAACAGG
Molecule: ribosomal RNA, 402 nt
Filed under: uncultured bacterium
Lineage: Bacteria
Description: bacterial SSU rRNA
Rfam family: Bacterial small subunit ribosomal RNA
Source: RNAcentral